CUACGGGUGGCUCCAGUGAGGAAUAUUGCACAAUGGGGGGAACCCUGAUGCAGCAACGCCGCGUGGAGGAUGACGCACUUCGGUGUGUAAACUCCUUUUAUAUGUCAAGAAAAUGACGGUAGCAUAUGAAUAAGCACUGGCUAACUCCGUGCCAGCAGCCGCGGUAAUACGGAGGGUGCAAGCGUUACUCGGAAUCACUGGGCGUAAAGGACGCGUAGGCGGGUUGGAAAGUCAGGUGUGAAAUCCUACAGCUUAACUGUAGAACUGCACUUGAAACUUCUAAUCUAGAGUAUGGGAGGGGGAGAUGGAAUUAGUGGUGUAGGGAUAAAAUCCGUAGAUAUCACUAGGAAUACCUAAAGCGAAGGCGAUCUCCUGGAACAUUACUGACGCUAAGGCGUGAAAGCGUGGGGAGCAAACAGGAUUAGAUACCCUUGUAGUC
RNAcentral lists this ribosomal RNA (439 nucleotides) under uncultured bacterium. RNAcentral's name for it is "partial 16S ribosomal RNA". It matches the Rfam family "Bacterial small subunit ribosomal RNA", at positions 339 to 795 of the family's 1533-position model. The record is from RNAcentral.